This 16285-nucleotide long non-coding RNA is filed under the name Paramuricea clavata. Lineage: Eukaryota; Metazoa; Cnidaria; Anthozoa; Malacalcyonacea; Plexauridae. The record is from RNAcentral.
GGCGGGUUUUGGCGGGAAAAUUUGUAAUGUUUGGAGAAGACAAGAUGGCGCCGGUUACUUCGUGUCAUCAAAGGGCAUUUUUGUUCACAAAUAUACCCGCUUAUUUUACGUUAUAGCGACUGGUUAGUUUUGGAAAUUAUAACUCAAUGGACGGGGAAAACGAUUCUGUAUUAAAGAGAAAAUGAUGUGCAGUUAUUGUGAUGUACAGUUAUUGUGAAAGGCGGCCCGAAAUUUCGCUACUUCGCAGUACUGGUUUAUAAAAAAAUUACAAGCAACAGCAAUUGAACAAUAUGACAAAGAAACCAAUGUAUACAAGCCAAUCAAGUUCUUCAGUUUAAAGGUCAGUUUACUUUUUAAUAAUUAGUUCAUUUAGUUGUAUUUAUAAUACGAAUUUAUACGAAGUUCUGGAUACUAAUAAAAACUUUGUACGAACUGGUGACUAUUCGUACUGGAACAGUACGCCGAGUUUGAUUUGCUAUUCGUACUGCAAUCGUAAUAUUUAAGAUAAACCUGACCCCAAACCCUUCUCUAAUCCAAACAAAGUUUUUUUAUUUACUUGAAAGUUUUUUUAUUUCGAGAAAAAUUUUUUUUAAAUAUUUUAAGUAAAAUUUCUAAGUCAAACAGACAACCGACGGCUAAAACUAAACCCGGACCCGACCUUGUUUCACUUCGCACGCACGCACGCAUCACCUUUGCUGAAUCCACUACCAGCCUGAAUUGCUGAAAGCUAUUGCAAAAAACUAUUUUAUAUUACUACUUUACAAAAUGUAAGAAUCUGGUGCCAUACUUCAGUACGAUUAUUGAGUCGUACUAAUUACUGACAAUUACCGACAACAAUCACACAAUUACCAACAACAAGCACACAAUUACCGACAACAAGCUGACAAUUACCGACAACAAGCACACAAUUACCGACAACAAGCUGACAAUUACCGACAAAAAGCUGACAAUUACCGACAACAAGCACACAAUUACCGACAACAAGCACACAAUUACCGACAACAAGCACACAAUUACCGACAACAAGCACACAAUUACCGACAACAAGCUGACAAUUACUGACAACACGCUGACAAUUACUGGCAACAAGCUGACAAUUACCGCAACAAGCUGACAAUUACCGCAACAAGCUGACAAUUACCGACAACAAGCUGACAAUUACCGACAACAAGCUGACAAUUACCGACAACAAGCUGACAAUUACCGACAACAAGCACACAAUUACCGACAACAAGCACACAAUUACCAACAACAAGCACACAAUUACCGACAACAAGCUGACAAUUACCGACAACAAGCUGACAAUUACCGACAACAAGCUGACAAUUACCGACAACAAGCUGACAAUUACCGUUGCAAAUAAGUUGACAUCAUUGACAACAAGCAGACAAUUACCGACAACAAGCUUGGACAAUUUACUGACACAACAAGCUGACAAUACUGACAAGCUGACAAUUACUGACACGCUGACAAUUACUGACAACACGCUGAUACCACUGCAACAAGCUGACAACAUUGCUAGACAAUUACCGAUACAACAAGCUGACAAGCUGAUAAUUACUGGGACAACAAGCUGACACCAUUGGACAAAUAAGCUGACAAUUACUGACAACAUGCUGACAAUUACUGACAACAAGCUGACAAUUACCGACAACAAGCUGACAAUUACCGACAACAAGCUGACAAUUACCGACAACAAGCUGACAAUUACCGACAAAAAGCUGACAAUUACCGACAACAAGCACACAAUUACCGACAACAAGCACACAAUUACCAACAACAAGCACACAAUUACCGACAACAAGCUGACAAUUACUGACAACAAGCUGACAAUUACUGACAACACGCUGACAAUUACCGCAACAAGCUGACAAUUACUGACAACAAGCAGACAAUUACCGACAACAAGCUGACAAUUACUGACAACAAGCUGACAAUUACUGACAACAAGCUGACAAUUACUGACAACACGCUGACAAUUACUGACAACACGCUGACAAUUACCGCAACAAGCUGACAAUUACUGACAACAAGCAGACAAUUACCGACAACAAGCUGACAACAAGCUGACAAUUACUGACAACAAGCUGACAAUUACUGACAACAAGCUGACAAUUACUGACAACAUGCUGACAAUUACUGACAACAAGCUGACAAUUACCGACAACAAGCUGACAAUUACCGACAACAAGCUGACAAUUACUGACAACAAGCAGACAAUUACCGGCAACACGCUGAAAAUUACUGACAACAAGCUGACAAUUACUGACAACAAGCUGACAAUUACUGACAACAAGCUGACAAUUACCAACAACAAGCACACAAUUACCGACAACAAGCUGACAAUUACCGACAACAAGCACACAAUUACCGACAACAAGCACACAAUUACCGACAACAAGCACACAAUUACCGACAACAAGCUGACAAUUACUGACAACAAGCUGACAAUUACCGGCAACGCGAUGACAAUUACUGACAACAAGCUGACAAUUACCGACAACAACUGACAAUUCCCGACAACAAGCACACAAUUACUGACAACAAGCUGACAAUUACCGACAACAAGCACACAAUUACUGACAACAAGCACACAAUUACUGACAACAAGCUGACAAUUACCGACAACAAGCUGACAAUUACCGACAACAAGCUGACAAUUACUGACAACAAGCUGACAAUUACUGACAACAAGCUGACAAUUACCGACAACAAGCUGACAAUUACUGACAACAAGCUGACAAUUACUGACAACAAGCUGAAAAAUACGGACAACAAGCAAAUACAUACUUUCAUUGUAUUAUAGUUAUUUGGUUGUUUUUGAGGAAACACAAAAUAUAUAAGUUUGACAGAUUUUGUCAAAUAUUGUUGAGUUAAAACAUUCCGCUAUUAAAGAUGAUGGAUUCGCGUAGGCAGAUACCAUAUAAAAGUAUAGAUAGGAAACAAAAUUUCAAGUAGAAAAUCAGUAUUAACUACCUUAUUAUCUAUAAUAAUAUAACUACCAACUUCUAUAAAGUGUAUAAUGUGUCUCAAAUGUUUAAUAGUAACAAACAGAAACAAGCUAUAAAUUAUUUACGUCAAUGCAUGUAUGUGUUUGGGUUUUCCUCAAAAACAGCCAUGCAUUCAUACAAAUAACUAAAAGAAUACAAUGAAAGUAUGUAUUUGCUUGUUGUUGGUAUUUUUCAGCUUGUUGUUGGUAAUUGUCAGCUUGUUGUUGGUAAUUGUCAGCUUGUUGUUGGUAAUUGUCAGCUUGUUGUCGGUAAUUGUGUGCUUCUUGUCGGUAAUUGUCUGCUUGUUGUCGACGGUUGUGUCUGUAAUUAGUACAACCACGAUUAUUAGUUAAAUUGAAAAAUCAUUUAUUUCACAUUUGGUACACUGUACGUUUUAUGAUUGAUCACGACGAUCAGCGGAUAUUUCUAUACACUUUCUAUAUAUUUACUAUUGAAUUUUCCAAACUUUCCAGUCAGGCAAAGUUGUACCCCACACCAUGGAAUUUCAUUUCAGCACCCUAUAUCAUUCUAGAAUAUCUGUAUUAAUCAUUUCAGCAACUUUGGCUAGCUUGCGUUGUUUUUUGCUGAAUAACGCUCACAGGCUGCAUGUUGUCCAAGGAAGGCACCCUCUGUCAUUAACCCCCUCGCCACAUUUGCAACAUUAAUUAACAAAACAAUCAACCCCACUGCCUCAAAACUCUCCGUCCCUGUCAUACAGCAAACUCCUAGCCUUCUUUAACAACAGAUGUCGAGGGCCAACUAAUUUCUUACUAUGGACCAUCUACACGAUGCAAUGUUUGCUUACAAUUGUCGUAUGCAGGGUGUUAGUCAGGCGGCCGUCCGACCGUCCUAUGGACGGCUAAAUUUUAAUGGAUGGCCAUGGACGGCCUAAGGGAAUAUUUUCUUUAAAAAGCAACCUACAUGAUUUGUAAUAUUUCUUGAGUACUUCGCGCCAUAUUUUUGUAAAACGCGCCAUGUUUUUGUAACCAUUUUAAUUAUUCUCACAUGAAGUUUCAAGGAGAAUAAUGUGAAACCGUGUUUUAAAAAGCAUCGCUCGAGCGCCACGUUACAGUUACGGUAGUGAUCAUACCAUACGUGUGCUUUUACUAAUUUAAUGAUGGAAAUGUGCAUCUAAAAGUAGAAAGGUUCAACCUCUAGGUCUAUUAACUGUCGUUCAAUGAAUAAAACACCACAAUUCCUCAACAACAGAAAAUUGUGGCCACACCCAAAAACAUGUGACCACGCCCACAAAAAUAUGUUGCCACGCCCACAAAAUUAUUUUGGACGGCCACUUUUGAAAUCCUGGCUAACACCCUGGUCGUAUGCAACUUGCUGACCCCAUCCCUGCGACUUUGUGUCAUCUAUCUAGACUGUACGAUUAUUGUAUGCGACUUCUCCAACCGAGAGAGAUAUUAGACCCUCUUUCUACUUUUUUUUUUACUUUGCCUUGGUCACACUUUGAACAGGAGGCAUACCAAUUUCGCUUUCUCCCAUCUCAUUGUUGAUGUCCGCCAUUUUGAACUAUUUUUCACAAAAAAUGUAUAAAAGUCGCAGGAUUUUAAAAUUUUUUACCACUUUUUUGUGUUGCAUAAGACUGUCAUAAGCAAAUUGUAGGGCUAUCUACAUGACAUGAUUUGCGUCGCAGGGAUGGCGUCUCGAUGCAAUGCAGGUUGUUUUAGUUCCAUUUUUUUAAGCAUUAGAAAGUGUAUGCUAUGUAUGUGCUGAGAGCUAGUUUUGUUGGAUUUUUUUGAAAAUUUCAGCAGCCAUGUUGUUCGAGCCAAAACAAGCUAGGUUACAUGGAUUGUAAAAUAACAUUUAUUUUAUUAUCCAUGGUUACAUGAAGUAAGGUUUGAAUGUAAAAAAUGACUUUCUAUUCAGUGCUGUAUACAGUCAUAGUUAAUAGAAAUAAACAUGGUUAGGAAGGCCGGUAAACUUCAAAGAAUUUCCUAUUCAAACUUCAACUGAUGUUGAAAUGUAAUUCCAGGUGCACACAUCUUUUGUCUUGCGUUUAUUAAUAUUCAAAUAUUACGGUUCAGCGAUUGAAACUAAGGUUUUUAUUGGGUAAUCGCCUCAUUAUACAGAAUCCGAGUGCACAAAUUUCCAUAAACUUGGACAAAAACAUAGAACAAUGACUUUUGUCAAGCUUCCAAACCAUGUUUAUUUUCUAUUAACUAUGAUACAGUUCAGUGGCUCAGACAACUUCAGAUUUUCGCCCGCAGACCUGGGAACGAGGUUGCCGAAGAGCAUGCAUAAAUUAUGAAAUAAAAUAAUACUUCGUAUUUAAUAAUACUGUAUUUUUGUUCAUUUUAAAAUGUUUAGCGAGCAAACAUUGUUGUGUUACAGUCGUGUUUGGGUCAAACAAUAUGUGGAAAGCAAAAAUAGCGAAGGUAAAGAGAUUAAAAUUGGAUUUAGUGCGUAUUUUUGAAAAUUUUUACCACCAAAUAUGGUAGUCCCCCCCGUCCAUGCCACUUGUGACGUCAGGUACAUACGGGACUUUGGGGGCGUGUUUUGGCGGGAAAAUCUGUAAUGUUUGGAGAAGACAAGAUGGCGCCGGUUACCUCGUGUUAUAUCAAAGGGCAUUUUUGUUCACAAAUACCCGCUUAUUUUACGUUAUAGCGACUGGUUCGUUUUGGAAAUUAUAACUCAAUGGACGGGGAAAACGAUUCUGUAUUAAAGAGAAAAGGAUGUGCAGUUAUUGUGAUGUUAUUUGUUGUGAAAGACGGCCCGAAAUUUCGCUACAUCGCAGUACUGGUUUAUAAAAAAAUUACAAGCAACAGCAAUUGAACUAUAUGACAAAGAAACCAAUGUAUACAAGCCAAUCAAGUUCUUCAGUUUAAAGGUCAGUUUACUUUUUAAUAAUUAGUUCAUUUAGUUAUAUAUUAAUACGAAGUAUAGGGCCAUUCCAUUUAAUAUCCACACCCUCCUGUUGACUAGAUUUAACGAAGUGGGUUUGAAAUUUUGAAUUUCUGAGGGUGUGCCAAGUUGAAAUUUCCGAGGGGGUUUGUGAAAGGAAAAUUUCUUAAGGUGUCAACAUUUUUGUAAUUUUCCAAGGAGUUACAAAAUUUUUUUAAAUUUCUGAGGGGGGAGGAGGAAGGUAUACCUGUUGACGAAAAUUUCUGAGGGGGUGGUAAAUAAUUCCAAAAAAUUUCUGAUGGGGUCUAUCAUAGUGGAACCACGUCAACAGUUAUUUCCGAGGGGCUCGAGAAAAAUUGUAAAUUUCCGAGGGGGUUCUAAAAAAAUAGCGAAUUUCCGAGGGAGGCUUACAGAAAACCGUUUCUGAAGGGGCCUAAAAUCAGAAACCUCGUCAACAGGGGGUGUGGAUAUUAAAUGGAAUGGCCCACUGGAUGCUAGUAAAAACUUUUUAAUAAUUAGUUCAUUUAGUUGUGUAUUAAUACGAAGUACUGGAUACUAGAUAAAUAGUUCUUUUAGUUGUAUAUUAAUCCGAAGUACUACUACUUGUGUUGCCACGCAUAACAUUGAAUUGAUGUUAUCACCAGUACCCACCUCAGAUAACGUUGAUUGUUACCCUGUCGUAUUUUGACCGCUAAAAGAGCUCAAAAUCAAAAUGGCAACUGAAAUAUGGUGUAUAAUCAAUCAAUUUAUCUCAGAAAUGCAUUAAAAUGCUGAGGCUUCAAUUCAAAGUUAUUCACUAUAUUUGUACGUAAUUGACCGGUAUUUGACACAAAACGUCGCUUCAAUACUUCAACCUUUGUUUUGGCUUUGGUUUUCUAUUCGUUGAAAAUAAUAUAAUACUGGCAAAAGUGCACGGCAAACAUGAAAUAUUUCAACUUUGGUCUGUUCGGAUGUAAAUAGUCAAAUUGCUAGAAGAUAAUGUCGAUUCUACGUAAUGUGUGGCAACAUGAAUAUGGACCUGGUCCCUUAACGAGUUUGAUUUGCUAUUUGUAUAAACAGACCCCAACCCCUUCUCUAACCCUAACCAAUGAAUGUGUAAUGAACUAUUGAGAGUUAAAAAGGUUUGGUGGGAUUUUAAAAUAUUUAAAAAAAAAUUUCUAUGGGGCUGAAUAUGGAAGCUGGGUUGGCCCGCCAAACGAGACAGUCCGGUAAGCGGGAUGAAUUUUGCUUGCAUUUAUAUGAGGAGAUUUUAUGCUGCUUGCCAGGCUAGAAAUUGUUUACAUUGCACUCAAUUGGUAUUGCCAGAACAAAUUUCAAAAUUAAUUUUUGCUUCAAGACUCGCUAUUUUGUAAACAUUACAGCUAUUGAAGGACAUUGCAACCUUUUGUUUUGUCUUUUUUACCUAUGUAAUGUCAAGAACUAUAAAAAUAGUUGCAGAAAAGACUUCAAACUAUUGAAAAUGUUUCAUCCCAGCAACCGGGCCAUCCCAUUUGUGAGUGUUUAUAUGGGGAAAUUUUCACCCUGGUUGUCCAUAUAAACGCACAGGAAUUUUUACUAUAAAUUCUACUACACAGCGAGAUCUUGCUAAGGCGUAAGAAAAAAUACCUGUGGUUCUGGUUUCAUAUCGUGAAAAAAUUAGGGUCGGUAGGUCGGAAAUAAUAAAUUUUUUUAAAAUAUUAUUUUCAUGGUUUUGGUGGUUUUUUGCUGGGUGAUUUGCAGUAGAGUCCCGACAUCAAUAUUAACUAGAGAUGCGUAUUUCCUAUGGACGAAUUUAGGCAAUUUGGUUCAAUAAUUAGUGUGACAACAAACGCCAUUUUGGCACGCUGUAUGAGCAGCCCGCAACCACCUGGAGAAAAUAAGGUCGCACGGUCAAUCGUGCUGAAAAAAUAAUAGGGUCGGCAGAAGAAAUAGGGUCGGUCGGGAACCGGAACCACAGGUAUUUUUUUUACGCCUAACCGGGCUGUCUUGCCAAGUGGGCCAGUCUAGCUCCAAUAUAAACAGCCCCUAAAUCAAACAGAAAUCGACAGCUAAAACAAAACCUGAUCCCCGACCUUGUUUCACUUUGCAUGCAUGCAACGCCUUUGCUGAAUACACUACCAGCCUGAAUUUAGAGUGGAUCGAUAUCGCAAAUAUCGAUAUUCCGCCAUCAGAAUACUGGUAAAUACCGGUAUUUUUAACGUGCUUUUUUUAAGCCAAACUGAACUACUGACCGUCGAGAAAAAUCAAGUUUUGACAAAAUAUUAAUGUGGCACGUACUGUUAUAAGUGCAAAUGUCACGAGAUUCGCAUUAUCAAGCUAUGUUAACGGUGCUAAGCAGCAAUUAUUAGUAGGGCGUCGAAGUGUUGAAUUUGUGAGUUCAGUAUUAACAUUGCUUUCUAAACGUGAUGGUAAGCAAGUUUGACUUGAAAUAGCGUUUCAAUUCGGUAUUAGGCAGCAAAAUACCGAAAUGUCGGUAUAUCGGUAUUUUUAAAUUGUCAAUAUCGCCAAACCGGCAUCUAAACAAAUACCGGAUAUACAAAUACCGGAUAUACCCGGUAUAUAGAUCCACUCUACCUGAAUUGCUGAAAGCUAUUGCAAAAACCUAUUUUAUAUUACUACUUUACAAAAUGUAAGAACCUGACACCAUCCCUGCGACUUUGUGUCGUCUAUCUAGACGGUACGAUUAUUGUAUGCGACUUUUCCAACCGAGAGAUAUAUUAGGACCCUCCUUCUACUUUUUUUACACUUUGCCUUGGUCACAUUUUGAACAAGAGGCGUGCCAAUUUCGCUUUCUCUCAUCUCAUUGUUGAUGUCCGCCAUUUUGAACUAUUUUUUCAUAAAAAUGUAUGAAAGUCGCAGGAUUUUAAAACAAGUUUAAAAUAUUUACGACUUUUUUGUGUUGCAUACAACUGUCGUAAGCAAGUUUUAGGGCUAUCUACACGGCACGAUUCGUGUCGCAGGGAUGGCAUCAGCAAGUUGCAUACAACAAUCGUCAUGGGCGUACGGGAAGGAAAAAAUAAGGGGGUGGAAAGAAAUUUGCCCGACUUUGUCGGAUUGUGCCGCAGUUGUCAAAAAAAAUUUCCGGAGAAACUUUCCAAAAUUGUUGUCGCUCCAAUUGUUUAGCUCCAUUUUUUUAAGCAUUUUAUAAAACGUAUGCUAUGUAUGUGCUAAGAAGCUAGUUUUGUUGGCAUGUGGAAAGCAAAAUAGCGAAGGUAAAGAGAUUAAAAUUGGAUUUAGUGCAUAUUUUUGAAAAAUUUUACCACCAAAUAUGGUANNNNNNNNNNNNNNNNNNNNCCGUCCAUGCCACUUGUGACGUCGGGUACAUACGGGACUUUGGGGGCGGGUUUUGGCGGGAAAAUCUGUAAUGUUUGGAGAAGACAAUAUGGCGCUGGUUACCUCGUGUUAUAUCAAAGGGCAUUUUUGUUCACAAAUACGCGCUUAUUUUACGUUAUAGCGACUGGUUCGUUUUGGAAAUUAUAACUCAAUGGACGGGGAAAACGAUUCUGUAUUAAAGAGAAAAAGAUGUGCAGUUAUUGUGAUGUUAUUUGUUGUGAAAGACGGCCCGAAAUUUCGCUACUUCGCUGUACUGGUUUAUAAAACAUUUACAAGCAACAGCAAUUGAACUAUAUGACAAAGAAACCAAUGUGUACAAGCCAAUCAAGUUCUUCAGUUUAAAGGUCAGUUUACUUUUUAAUAAUUAGUUCAUUUAGUUGUAUAUUAAUACGAAGUACUGGAACAGUACGCCGAGUUUGAUUUGCUAUUUGUACUGACUACUGUAGUCGGAAUAUUUAUGCACCUAUCAAUGUUCAGCCCGAGGGGAGGCGGGGAGGGCGGGCGUCAAUAGGGGAUUUGAAUUUUUGUUGAAAUGUUUUGUCAAACAUCCCGUAUUUCAGAGCUUGUCAAACUCAUCAAAAUGCUGGUCAAACUCAUCAAAAUACCCCGGUUAUUUCUUUGCUUCCUGUUCAAAUGGGUUGUUCCAGAAAAUAUCCAUACCCCCAAGCUGUCCGAAGGGGGAGUGAGGAAAAUUGUCUUAGGAUGUCCGGGGGGGGGGGAGGAAAUGCGGAUAUAAGUUUGUCCGAAGGUUUUAGACAGUGAUAAAGCUAUGUGAUUGGCGAUAAUUAUAAUGAGCACGCAAUUUUUAUCAGGUAUAGCCCUUAAAAACCGGAACGUUUAUGUAACAGCAAUAAUUAUACGUCCACGUAACUCGUAAGCAAAAUAAGCGGCCCAAAAUAAGCGGCAUGCAUGGCCACGGAAAACUAACUCGCUGUAACAGUGUAUCCUGCAUGUUGAGAAUGAGUCGAAAAUUUACACACUUUAUUUAUAUAAAAGUAAAGUUUUGCAGUUUUCAUAUGUAUAAGUUUGAAUUAUUCAAGUGUUAAAAAUAAUAGUUAUUAAACUGUUGCUUGAAUUAAGAGACUGCUAUGUGAACUGAACUCAAUAUUUCGAAUAUUUAGUUUCAGUAUAUAGUCAAUAAAGCUUCCUUGCGAGGUGCGUGCCUAGAAAAUAGAAAUGGCUGUCAUAUUAAGGGCGAGUAAUACUAAAAAAUGCAUUAGGGCAAUUUUACGUUGCGGACGUUACAUUCACAGGAAAACAAUUAAUACAAAACAUGCUCUGUUUCCUGUUUGCAACAGUUUCAGAUCUGGGAACUUUGUCAUAGAAAACCUUACAGUCAAAUCCGGUUCGCCUUUGACCUAAACAUUGCUAUAAUGAUAUACAAUUUUGCAAUUUUGAUUGACAUUUGUGUCGUGCAAUUUCCAACUGUCGAGGUAAAUUGCUAUUUGCUAAUUGCAAAUUUGCCGCAAUUUUCAUCUCACUCUAAGAGCAGACGGACAACUUUUAGUCAAUGAUUUAGGGAUAGAUACGCGAGUGUUUUUCUUGAAAAACCUAUUAAAGAAUACAGAUUACUUGUCGAACGUAUUAAAUCUGCAAUACCUUGUUUCAACAAAUUGCACGACGACGAAAUUCGAAUUGCAUAUAAAGAUGUUCAUUCAGGAUGUUUCAUAAAUAUUCAUGCAAAUGUUGAUGAACAAUUUCACCUAACAGAUACAUUCAACAACGUAUUUACAGUUUGAGCAUACGAUAGAAUUACAGUAAUUUGAAAGUUUGUAGAAGUGAUUCACCGUUUAUACAUAUUAGAAAGAAAUCGUUAAUUCGCGACGAUCUCAACGAACCUACGUUUUGUUCGAGUGUAAAUAACAAGGUGAGACCGAUUGCCGCUUUCACGGAAAAUGAUGAUACAAGUACGAGUACUGUACGUCUGCCCUUCCCAAACAAAUUAAUUUUACAGCAGAUUUGUCCGAAGUUCAAGGUGGAAAAAAAACAAUCGCAAUAACAAUCCUUGUUACGCCCCCGUUUACACGUCUUAUUUUACCUGUAAUUCUAUCGUAUGCUCCAACUGUAACAACGUUGUUGAAAGUAUCUGUUAGGUGAAACUGUUCAUCAACAUUUGCAUGAAUAUUUAUGAAACAUCCUGAAUGAACAUCUUUAUAUGCAAUUCAAAUUUCGUCGUCGUGCAAUUCGUUAAAACAAGGUAUUGCAGAUUUAAUACGUUCGACAAGUAAUCUGUAUUCUUUAAUAGGUUUUUCAAGAAAAACACUCGCGUAUCUAUCCCUAAAUCAUUGACUAAAAGUUGUCCGUCUGCUCUUGGAGUGAGAUGAACUUGCGGCAGAUUUGCAAUUAGCAAAUAGCAAUUUACCUCGACAGUUGGAAAUUGCACGACACAAAUGUCAAUCAAAAUUGCAAAAUUGUAUAUCAUUAUAGCAAUGUUUAGGUCAAAAGCGAACCGGAUUUGACUGUAAGGGGACCUCUUAAUAUUUCAUAAAAUAAAACAAAAUUCCCUCGUAAUCACUUUUUGUAAUAAAAAGUCAAAGUACUGUUGCGGACAUUACAGCAAAAUCAACCACACAUUGAAGUGAUGUUCUUAAAAUGUAAUUUCCUGUGAAUUUUGAAAGGUAUCACAGGAACUAAAACACUGCCUGCUCUCAGUGAUACUUGGGGUUAAAAAAUAUGAAAACGAGAUGUUCUACAAUGCCCUUGCGCAGCUUCUAUAGUGCAAAGUUUGUGUUGCGGACAUUACACUGAAACUGUUGCGGACAUUACAUUUUUGGGAUUGUAUAGCAAUCUGUAUUAAAAAUAAUAGGAAAUCAAAACUGGGUGACUGAUUAUGCACUUCAAUGUUUCUAGUCUACAUAACAGGCAUUCUAGCUUAAUUAUGCCCGGGCGUACGGGGGGGGCGUAGAGGGCGGCAGCCCCCCCCCAGUUUGUUGGGCUAUCAAAGCCAGUCGGGCAAUAUUCGCUUCACAGUCGGGCAAUAUUGGCUUAUUAUAAAAAUAAAUGGGACAAAUUCUGUCAAUUUUGUGGGGAAUUCUGUCAAUUUUGUGGGAAAUAUGCUAUCUCCGGAAAAAAUUUUUUUGACAACACGGGCACAAUCCGAAAAAGUAGGGCAAAUUUCUUUCCUUCCCCCUAAUUUUUUCCUUCCCAUACGCCCAUGUGUAUACCAACAAAUCCUGGCAUGAAAUCAUGGUCACAUAUAUUACAGUAUAUAAUCUUCUGUUGACAAUAAUAUCUUUCAAAAGUGCAAUAUUUGUUGUGCAUUGACUCAGGCAAUGACUCGGGUUGUGCAGCAAAAAAGUGUCAUGUUUGUGGACCAUUCUAUUUGACAGUUUUGCAUUUACUACAUUUGGUGGGGAUAAUUAACACCCCUGACUUUAGUGGAAGAUGAUCAAAACAAACAUGAACUAAAACAUGAUUUUGCGCUUAACAACAUAUGCCUUACAAAACUGAUGGUACAAUGGCAGUAUAUGGUAGUGGCAUUAUAUGUAACUUGGAAACUUUCCAUGAUGAAUUGUGUCACUGUGAUUGUGUAUACACAACGGAGUGAUUAUAGCUAAAAGUAGGGUCCCAUAGUCCUUUUAAUGUUCUAUUUUUAAGUCAUCAAGCUUAAAAUAACUAUAGAAUUCAAGCAAGACAAUUAAUAAUAAGCAUCUAAUUCUCCAAGUUCAAAAUGUAAUGUCCGCAACGUAAUGUCCGCAACACAUUAUUCAAGACAUGUUAAUACUUUUUAUUGUCUUUUUUCAGUCUAAAAUAAUGUUAAUACCAUUUUAAAAAAGCAGAACAAAUAUAAUGUCAAAAGAGCUAGACGUUUGGCUGAAAAAUAAAUUGAAUUGUUUUUUUUGUUGCGGACAUUACAUUUCUCUUACCCAAACUCUGAUGCACCAUAAAUCAUAGCAACACUGGAUAUUAUCUGAUCUAACAUUGUUAUCAUGAUAUUUGAACCUUAGACUGUGUUUGUUAAGAAAUAUAACUUAUUUCAAAGUUAAAGUGACUGAGAUAUAAUUAUUUUAAAUGAACACACUUUAUCCACAGAACAAUAGCAACAAACAAGUGCAGGUUCAAUGACUUGCCGCAGAGUGGGCAUGCGGCAAAAUUCAAAAAUCGUUUUGAUUUAUGAUAAUCCAAUGUGUUAACUAUGGAAACAUGUGGUUAGCACCACAUAAUUUUGCAAUUUUGCCAUUUUCAAUGUCUCAUGUGAAAUUGACCAUUAACAUGUAAGUAAACACAGCAACCCUUGUCAAUCAGUCGCAAGUUACAUUGAAUUUCAGUCCGAAUUUUACUUGAUCGAAUUUCGAAGUGAAUUUCUGCAAAUUAUCCGACAAAAUCUGCCAUGUAUUUCAGUAUUUGUGUUCACAAGAAGCCUCCAAGUGUUCCACCACGCCGGAGCUAUUUGAAAACAGCGUAGAAAAGUCACAAUAAGCCAUCGCUUUCACACUACGCUGGAGCGAAAUUGUUUGAAAACUUUCACAUCACGUUUGCCGUAACAAUUUGAGCACGGUUUCUAAACUGAGCGAGGUGAAAACGGAGCGCUUGAUAGCUUUGUGUGAACACAAACGUGUAAACUUGAAUGCUUUUCUGUUAAAUUUCUUGGCUCUAUUUGAAAUAUUUUGGGUUUACAUGAGUGCUAAUUUAAUUUGUAAACACUGUAGGGGGUAUGGAUCUUUUCUGGAAUGACCCAAUCACAUAAUUUCUGCGCCUUCACUAUGAUUGGCCGAAAGUGCCUAAAUUUCCAAUGAAAACAUUCGCAUUUCCACUUGACAACAUUUGAAUUUGCCCUUGGUAACUUGUGUGUUUCAACGAUCAACUUGUGCGGCAAAACUUCCUGUCUCUAAGCUCAACUGCAAAUCACAGUAUUUGCAACCUUUUGUUUUGUCAUUUUUACCUAUGUAAUGUCAAGAACUAUAAAAAUAAUAGCAGAAAAGACUUCAAACUAUCGAAAAUGUUUCAUCCCUGUUACAUUUUUUACAUCUCACCCCUAAGGAAAUUGCAUUUGAAAUAACCAACCCCUGAAGAAUUCCACAGGAGAAUUUGUUUACCCAUGAGGAAUUCCUGAGUUAAAAAGGGAGGUUAUGGAUAUGGAAUAGCCCAAUUUUCUGGAAAAUUUAGCCCAAUUUUCUGGAGAAUUUCCUGGUUUUCCCUGCAGCUUGUUUAUAAACAUGAUGAUAAUUUUCCAGAAUUCUUGUCUGGUUCAAUAGAAAUUUUAUUUUCCAAAGUUUUGAAAUAAACAGAAGUGCAUGGGCCGGUUGUAUCAAGCCCAUUUAGCUUAAACGGUGGUUAAUUAAAUUAAGCUCAAAAUAGAAAGCACGUCUAUAGAUUCAUUCAACAACCAAACUAAAAGUUUUGAACCUUAAUAGCGUUCUAUUAUCGUUAUAAUGUUUACAACUACAUAUUCAGUGCAGAAUAUUUAAGUUGACUGAUUCACGAGAGAAAAGAGUGUUAUUUAAUUUUGACUUAUCCACCGUUUAAGCUAAACAGGCUUGAUACAACCGGCCCCUGAUGUACCCAAACCAAAACAGGUGGUUAAAUUUUAACCCACAGGUAGCACUAUAACUAAAGCUUUGAACAACCGGCAGUUUUGAACAACUGGCCCCAGCUGCCGAUUGUUCAAAGCUGGGUUAGCUUAACCCUAUAAUUUAACAACUAAAAUUCAAAGCAAACUUCCUGACAGCUUGUGUAUAAAUUUGGAAAUAUUUGUUUAGAGAUCUUGUCUGGAUUGAUAGUAGUUUACUUCUCUGAAGUUUUGAAAUAAACAGACGUGCAGAAAUACACAAACUAAAACAGCAGGUUAAAUUUUAACCCAGGGUUAGCACUAACCCACCUUUGAACAAACCGGCCCCAGAUGUGUAACUUAACAGGACUUUGUGUCCUCAAAUUUCCCUGGAUGCUCAUGCCAUGACACUUGUUAGGAACUGGAAGAUGGUGUCUGGAAAACAAACUUUUGCAUUUUAUUGCAGCUUUUUUUAUUGAAAUUUAUAGAUUAAACAAUCAAUAGCAUCAUUUGUUGAAAGCAAUUAAAGUUGUAGAAAAGGUGUUGAAAGCAUUUUUUGAAAGCAAUGGCGUAUUAUCAAAUGACAAAUUAUCAUGCGAGCGACACUUGCUAGGAAGAUGGCAACUGUGGGACAACUAUAUAAUAGUUUUGUUUGUGGAAACACCACAUAAAUUUAUUACUGCAAAGCUUUUGAUCCGUAAGCCCGGAUAAUCAUCAGUGCUAAUAAUAUGUGACUUGUUUAAUUCACACGCCCUUUUUAUGUACAAAAAAUGUCGUGAUCUGUUGGCUCACAUAUUAUUAAUUAACACUGAUGAAAAUCCGGGCUUACGGGUCGAAAGCUUUGCAGUAAUAAAUUUACGUGGUGUUUCCACAAACAAAACUAUUAUAUGUUUUAUGCAAACAUAUAAAGAACUUAUUGUGGGACAACUUUUUUACUGAAGUUAUACAUCUGUUCUCAGCUGGCUAGAUCUUGAUUCUUGCCUGUGGUCCCCCUCUUUGCAUUUGACCCAAAUGUUUCGGUCAUUUUAUAUUUGCCAAUAUAAAUCUUAUUGGCCUAGAAAUUAUACAUUUGGAAUAAUAAUUUUGUAUGCUGCAUUCAAUCUAUUCUCCAUUCAGGGAGAUUCUUUUGUAAAUACCCACACCAAUCAGAAGUCUGUAUUUUUAUGCUAAAACAGAAAUCGGCAUCCCAGAGAGUAAAUUAUAUUCAAGUUUAGGGCAUGUUGCAGCUCUAUAUCUUGCCGUUGCAAGUUGCGUUGCGUUUGAUGUUUGUUCUGGGAUAAAAUAUUGAAUUAUACCUUAAAUUAAUGUUUUGUGAAAUUUAGUUAAAUUAGUAGAGAGAUGAAUGCAUAAAGCAUAGGGUAUUUUGAAGCUAAAUUUGUUUUAAAAUUUGUCAUUUCAGUGAAAUGGUGUGGAACACAAUGCGUUCUUUUCUGCUCGUCUUAGUUGUUGCAAGGAGACAUCUGGCAUUGUAAUGAAUGGAUGACGAUGUGUCGCUGGCAAACCUACACCAUGUGCAUUUUCUUGGUGGAUAUCUUGGGCAAAUGUGCAAUAUGAUGAGGGAUAUCUUGGGCAAAUAUCUUGUGUAAAUUGGUACAAUUACUUACCUUAAAUUACUAAAGAAGGAUGAUGUUUUAAGGUUAGU